GAAGCCGGAAUGAAUGAAUCUGAUUAUGAGAGUGAUGAAGGAGACAUAUGCAUCCCAAAAUUUAAAAAAGAAAAGUACAUGGAAUCCCCCUAAAAGCAAAAAACGACAAUUUGGAAUCAUUCAUUACAUCAGUCAAAGCUGAAGUCAGAUCUUCAAUCAGUGGUAAACAAGUCAGAAAUAUUUCAAAGUCAGAAAGUCAAGCCAUGAUAAACUUAAA
This 217-nucleotide long non-coding RNA is filed under the name Mytilus galloprovincialis (Mediterranean mussel). The record is from RNAcentral. Lineage: Eukaryota; Metazoa; Mollusca; Bivalvia; Mytilida; Mytilidae.